UUAGCGGCGGACGGGUGAGUAACACGUGGAUAACCUACCUAUAAGACUGGGAUAACUUCGGGAAACCGGAGCUAAUACCGGAUAAUAUUUUGAACCGCAUGGUUCAAAAGUGAAAGACGGUCUUGCUGUCACUUAUAGAUGGAUCCGCGCUGCAUUAGCUAGUUGGUAAGGUAACGGCUUACCAAGGCAACGAUGCAUAGCCGACCUGAGAGGGUGAUCGGCCACACUGGAACUGAGACACGGUCCAGACUCCUACGGGAGGCAGCAGUAGGGAAUCUUCCGCAAUGGGCGAAAGCCUGACGGAGCAACGCCGCGUGAGUGAUGAAGGUCUUCGGAUCGUAAAACUCUGUUAUUAGGGAAGAACAUAUGUGUAAGUAACUGUGCACAUCUUGACGGUACCUAAUCAGAAAGCCACGGCUAACUACGUGCCAGCAGCCGCGGUAAUACGUAGGUGGCAAGCGUUAUCCGGAAUUAUUGGGCGUAAAGCGCGCGUAGGCGGUUUUUUAAGUCUGAUGUGAAAGCCCACGGCUCAACCGUGGAGGGUCAUUGGAAACUGGAAAACUUGAGUGCAGAAGAGGAAAGUGGAAUUCCAUGUGUAGCGGUGAAAUGCGCAGAGAUAUGGAGGAACACCAGUGGCGAAGGCGACUUUCUGGUCUGUAACUGACGCUGAUGUGCGAAAGCGUGGGGAUCAAACAGGAUUAGAUACCCUGGUAGUCCACGCCGUAAACGAUGAGUGCUAAGUGUUAGGGGG
RNAcentral lists this ribosomal RNA (751 nucleotides) under Staphylococcus aureus. Its description in RNAcentral is "bacterial SSU rRNA". It matches the Rfam family "Bacterial small subunit ribosomal RNA", at positions 92 to 830 of the family's 1533-position model. The record is from RNAcentral. Lineage: Bacteria; Bacillati; Bacillota; Bacilli; Caryophanales; Staphylococcaceae.